CAUGGCUCAGAACGAACGCUGGCGGCAGGCCUAACACAUGCAAGUCGAGCGAGACCUUCGGGUCUAGCGGCGGACGGGUUAGUAACGCGUGGGAACGUGCCCUUCUCUGCGGAAUAGCCACUGGAAACGGUGAGUAAUACCGCAUACGCCCUUCGGGGGAAAGAUUUAUCGGAGAAGGAUCGGCCCGCGUUAGAUUAGAUAGUUGGUGGGGUAACGGCCUACCAAGUCUACGAUCUAUAGCUGGUUUUAGAGGAUGAUCAGCAACACUGGGACUGAGACACGGCCCAGACUCCUACGGGAGGCAGCAGUGGGGAAUCUUAGACAAUGGGCGCAAGCCUGAUCUAGCCAUGCCGCGUGUGUGAUGAAGGUCUUAGGAUCGUAAAGCACUUUCGCCAGGGAUGAUAAUGACAGUACCUGGUAAAGAAACCCCGGCUAACUCCGUGCCAGCAGCCGCGGUAAUACGGAGGGGGUUAGCGUUGUUCGGAAUUACUGGGCGUAAAGCGUACGUAGGCGGAUCAGAAAGUUGGGGGUGAAAUCCCGGGGCUCAACCCCGGAACUGCCUCCAAAACUCCUGGUCUUGAGUUCGAGAGAGGUGAGUGGAAUUCCAAGUGUAGAGGUGAAAUUCGUAGAUAUUUGGAGGAACACCAGUGGCGAAGGCGGCUCACUGGCUCGAUACUGACGCUGA
Molecule: ribosomal RNA, 685 nt
Filed under: Sulfitobacter dubius
Lineage: Bacteria; Pseudomonadati; Pseudomonadota; Alphaproteobacteria; Rhodobacterales; Roseobacteraceae
Description: bacterial SSU rRNA
Rfam family: Bacterial small subunit ribosomal RNA
Source: RNAcentral